Molecule: long non-coding RNA, 214 nt
Organism: Morone saxatilis (striped sea-bass)
Lineage: Eukaryota; Metazoa; Chordata; Actinopteri; Moronidae
Exons: 3
Source: RefSeq, a predicted model, not a curated record
AUAAAAUCGGCUCAUUCUAAGGCCACUCGUCCUCCAGCGUUAGGUUUUCCGUGGGUUCAGUUGCCUCCGGAGUACAGAGGCUCUGGAUUGCGCAAUAAACACCUGGCAUGUGUGUUCAUCUAUUAUAUCUACACCAGGCUUUUAAAAGCACCUCCGGUACUCACACGUCUGAUUCCCCUUUUUUCCUUUGAUAAAAACAAACUGUCCAUUUCUC